Molecule: ribosomal RNA, 719 nt
Filed under: uncultured bacterium
Lineage: Bacteria
Description: bacterial SSU rRNA
Rfam family: Bacterial small subunit ribosomal RNA
Source: RNAcentral
GAUGAACGCUGGCGGCGUGCUAACACAUGCAAGUCGAGCGAUCUUCUUCGGAAGAGAGCGGCGGACGGGUGAGUAACGCGUGGGUAACCUGCCCUGUACACACGGAUAACAUACCGAAAGGUAUGCUAAUACGGGAUGAUAUAUGAAAGUCGCAUGGCUUUUAUAUCAAAGCUCUGGCGGUACAGGAUGGACCCGCGUCUGAUUAGCUAGUUGGUAAGGUAACGGCUUACCAAGGCGACGAUCAGUAGCCGACCUGAGAGGGUGAUCGGCCACACUGGAACUGAGACACGGUCCAGACUCCUACGGGAGGCAGCAGUGGGGAAUAUUGCACAAUGGGCGAAAGCCUGAUGCAGCAACGCCGCGUGAGCGAUGAAGGCCUUCGGGUCGUAAAGCUCUGUCCUCAAGGAAGAUAAUGACGGUACUUGAGGAGGAAGCCCCGGCUAACUACGUGCCAGCAGCCGCGGUAAUACGUAGGGGGCUAGCGUUAUCCGGAAUUACUGGGCGUAAAGGGUGCGUAGGCGGUCUUUCAAGCCAGAAGUGAAAGGCUACGGCUCAACCGUAGUAAGCUUUUGGAACUGUAGGACUUGAGUGCAGGAGAGGAGAGUAGAAUUCCUAGUGUAGCGGUGAAAUGCGUAGAUAUUAGGAGGAAUACCAGUAGCGAAGGCGGCUCUCUGGACUGUAACUGACGCUGAGGCACGAAAGCGUGGGGAGCAAACAGG